UGGGAGCUGCCUGCUGUUCUCAUGGUUGUAGUUAGGUCAGCCAAGUUUUGUUACCGGCUCUUGACUCUGUUGGCUGGAGCCUACCUUCCAAGAGCUCCCCUCCCCCUCCCCCAGAAGGCCCCUCCCCCCUCAAUCCCAGCAACACCCACGCGCCCUGCACAAUAUGGCUGGAGCAGGCAGCAACGGAGAGACCUUGGCUACCCGGAUGGAGGGUUCAUUGUCCUAAGCUGGAGAAAUGGAAGACUUUUAAAUGUCAUUUUCCCAGAGCACUGUUGGUAUCAAAAUGUGUUUAUAAUGGUCGGGUCGUCAUGGUGCUUACACCCACAUGGAGGCCUACUGGAGAUCAUAGAGAUGAAUGACAAGUUAAGAAACAGGCAAGAAAUUGUGAAUGGACUGAACAUAUUUUUGGAAGAAAAUGAAGAAGAAGCCUAUUUAGAAGAACUGGAAGAAGAAUCCGACAUGUUUGAGGAGGAAGAAACUGAAGCUCUGAAUGAAGAUGGUUCCAAAGAAGCACACAAUAAUGUAAGAACAUCUCAUAAAGUAUCCCUCAGGAGUAUUGCAUCAAUGACAGAUGAAGAGAGAUUUAAUAUGAGAAUUAAGAAGUUUGGUAUUACAAGUAAAGAAUUCAGAAAAUCACCAGUGGCUUCUUGCUUUGGACUGCCUCUGUCAACUGGUAUGUUCUGCCACUGUUUGGAGUAUUGCAUGAGUGCCAAAUGAGCAUGUGUGAAGCAUCAGUACGUCUGUAAUGAUAAGUCUCCCAACCGGCUCUGCUCUAGGCCAGCCAGAGCAGAUCCAUGAGCAAAGCAUCAGGGCAAAGAAAAUGCUGAUAUGGAAAAGAAGAGAAGGCGCCUGGAACGU
Mus musculus (house mouse) is the source of this 858-nucleotide RNA transcript. It is a transcript of the gene named RIKEN cDNA 1700019A02 gene, with no coding region annotated. NCBI's taxonomy places the organism in Eukaryota, Metazoa, Chordata, Mammalia, Rodentia, Muridae. The transcript has 10 exons. The record is from RefSeq and is marked validated.